RNAcentral lists this unclassified non-coding RNA (500 nucleotides) under uncultured Glomeromycotina. RNAcentral's name for it is "SSU rRNA". It matches the Rfam family "Eukaryotic small subunit ribosomal RNA", at positions 591 to 1092 of the family's 1831-position model. The record is from RNAcentral. Lineage: Eukaryota; Fungi; Glomeromycota.
CCAAUAGCGUAUAUUUAAGUUGUUGCAGUUAAAAAGCUCGUAGUUGAAUUUCGGGAUCGACGGGUCGGUCGCGCCUCUGGUGUGUACUGGCCCUGUCGGUUUCUCCCUUCUGACGAACCACGAUGUCAUUAAUUUGGUGUCGUGGGAAAUCAGGACUGUUACUUUGAAAAAAUUAGAGUGUUUAAAGCAGGCAUUCGCUUGAAUACAUUAGCAUGGAAUAAUGAAAUAGGACGUUUGAUCUUAUUUUGUUGGUUUCUAAGAUCGACGUAAUGAUUAAUAGGGAUAGUUGGGGGCAUUAGUAUUCAAUUGUCAGAGGUGAAAUUCUUGGAUUUAUUGAAGACUAACUACUGCGAAAGCAUUUGCCAAGGAUGUUUUCAUUAAUCAAGAACGAAAGUUAGGGGAUCGAAGACGAUCAGAUACCGUCGUAGUCUUAACCAUAAACUAUGCCGACUAGGGAUCGGAUGAUGUUAAUUUUUUAAUGACUCAUUCGGCGCCUUACG